CCUACGGGAGGCAGCAGUGGGGAAUAUUGCACAAUGGGGGAAACCCUGAUGCAGCGACGCCGCGUGAGUGAAGAAGUAAUUCGGUAUGUAAAGCUCUUUUAGCAGGGAAGAAAAGGACGGUACCUGUGUAAGAUGCUCCGGCUAACAACGUGCCAGCAGCCGCGGGAAUACGCAGGGGGCAAGCGUUAUCCGGAUUUACUGGGGGUAAAGGGAGCGUAGACGGGUGGGCAAGUCUGGAGUGAAAGGCGGGGGCUCAAACCCCGAACUGCACUGGAAACUGUACGGCUGGAGUGCAGGAGAGGUAAGCGGAAUUCCUGGUGUAGCGGUGAAAUGCGUAGAUAUUAGGAAGAACACCAGUGGCGAAGGCGGCUUACUGGACUGUAACUGACGUUGAGGCUCGAAAGCGUGGGGAGCAAACAGGAUUAGAUACCCCGGUAGUC
This 440-nucleotide ribosomal RNA is filed under the name uncultured bacterium. RNAcentral's name for it is "partial 16S ribosomal RNA". It matches the Rfam family "Bacterial small subunit ribosomal RNA", at positions 338 to 795 of the family's 1533-position model. The record is from RNAcentral.